Molecule: long non-coding RNA, 790 nt
Filed under: Lotus japonicus
Lineage: Eukaryota; Viridiplantae; Streptophyta; Magnoliopsida; Fabales; Fabaceae
Description: long non-coding RNA (LJAP_LNC000122)
Source: RNAcentral
CAUGCUCCUGACGUACCAAUUUGUGCUAGUUCUGCUAGGGUAAAUGUUAAGGUAAUGUUCCUAGGACCAUGGCCACUAUGGCCACUAUGAGCAGGAACUUCAGGAGGAGGGGCAUGGUUAAUUGUAUCAUGCUACAUCUUGAUAAAGAUUAGUCUUUAAUCAUCCAAUUGCAUGCAUCGCUGCUAAGACUAUUAGGGUGGAGGACCAAAUACAGCACGCACACAGCCGCGCCCCACGACAUUUCCAACUUCAGCAACCAUUACUACAGAAAGAAAAAGAAUAAACAAAAUCCAAUACAAGAUAAGUAUAAUAUUGAUAGGUUCCAAAAUCCAUAUAUAACAAAUGGAACAGUCAUGCUCCUAACAUAUAAUAUAAAAGAAUGGCCUAUUCUUUCAUCAACUACUCAGUCUCUCAACAUAACCAGACAAGGGUGCAAAAAGACAAUAAGAUCAUACUGUUAAAUAAGUGAUAGCACCAUAUUGGUUGCUAAGGCAAUGCAAUUUCUUCUCACAUCACAAGUUCACAACCAAAUUAAACAUUUCUAACCCUAAAAAUAUCACGUAACCAAUACAAAAACACUGCCAUGCAUUUCUUCUUCUCAAUAUUGCUUGAUUCACAUGAAAUAAUCAUAAAUUGCGGAGCGGGAUUUGUUUACUUUCCUCAACUGCCCGCGUGAUCGCAGAAAAAUAGAAAAAGAAGAAAAUAAGGAAUAGAUGGAUGGAGGAGCUCACCACGACGAGACAUGUUCGCGGCGGCACGGAAUAGGCUGAUGCCACCACGUUGAGCCAUG